GAUGAAGAACGUAGCGAAAUGCGAUAAGUAAUGUGAAUUGCAGAAUUCAGUGAAUCAUCGAAUCUUUGAACGCACAUUGCGCCCCCUGGUAUUCCGGGGGGCAUGCCUGUCCGAGCGUCAUUACAACCCUCAAGCUCAGCUUGGUGUUGGGCCCCGCCGCCCCGGCGGGCCCUAAAGUCAGUGGCGGUGCCGUCCGGCUCCGAGCGUAGUAAUUCUUCUCGCUCUGGAGGUCCGGUCGUGUGCUCGCCAGCAACCCCCAAUUUUUUUCAGGUUGACCUCGGAUCAGGUAGGGAUACCCGCUGAACUUAAGCAUAUCAAUAAGCUGAGGA
RNAcentral lists this unclassified non-coding RNA (329 nucleotides) under soil metagenome. RNAcentral's name for it is "partial contains 5.8S ribosomal RNA, internal transcribed spacer 2, and large subunit ribosomal RNA". The stretch from base 1 to 120 matches the Rfam family "5.8S ribosomal RNA", at positions 35 to 154 of the family's 154-position model. The record is from RNAcentral.